GAGUAAUGUGCUCGCAUGGAUGCGAGCCAAGCCACUCUGGCACAUGGAUGUGCCAGAGUGGCGGU
This is a non-coding RNA of Pseudoalteromonas luteoviolacea S4054, 65 nucleotides long. Lineage: Bacteria; Pseudomonadati; Pseudomonadota; Gammaproteobacteria; Alteromonadales; Pseudoalteromonadaceae. The record is from Rfam.